RNAcentral lists this long non-coding RNA (6848 nucleotides) under Homo sapiens (human). RNAcentral's name for it is "non-protein coding lnc-LRRTM1-9:1". The record is from RNAcentral. Lineage: Eukaryota; Metazoa; Chordata; Mammalia; Primates; Hominidae.
AAUGAACCUGUUAAAAAAGUAUUACAGAAAAGAAACAAAAUCCAAUAGUUUUAUCUCUAUACUCAAAAUGGAGGUUAAAAGUUACACUAAAAAUAACACUAUUGCACCAAAGAAAGCAUCCCAUCAUAUUCUGUCAGACACAUCAGACGAGGAGGACGUGAGUGUCACCAUGGGGACACAGGAGAGAAGCUGAGACUCUCGGCACAUACAAUAUUGCCUGGUAGUAAGAAAUGGGAGGCUUCUAAUGCCAAGCAGCAGAAGGAAAAAAAAAUGAAAAAGAAGUGAAGGAAAACAGAUAAACAAAAGGCAGAGAGGUUUGCUUUGGAAAAUGGAUUGACAAGUUCUUUUCCUCAGAGUCGGAAAGUGAGUCCUCAGAGAGUGGGGAGGAUGACAGGGACUCCAUGGGGAGCUCCAGCUGCCUCAAGUGUUCCCCGCUGGUGUUGAAGGACCCCUCCCUGUUCAUCUCCCUGUCUGCCUCCUCCACCUCAUCUCAUGGGGGCUCUGCUACCCAGAAGCAGAACCCCAACAAUACAAACCAGCACACCAAGCACUGGCAGACAGACAAUUGGAAAACCAUUUCUCUCCUGGCUUGGUCAGAGGUCAGUUCUUUAUCAGAAUCCACAAGGAGGAGACUGACAAGCCAGUCUGAUUACUCCUCUGGGGGCUCCAGUGUGGAAUCGCUGAAACCAGUGAGGAAGAAGCCAGAGCACAGGAAGCUGGGCAGGCUGCAGGGCUCCCUGUCAGAGAAGAGAAGCCCCUUCCUCUCCAGCGCAGAGGGCACCGUCCCCAAGCUGAACAAGGAGGGGAAAGUUGUCAAAAAAACAUAAAACAAAACACAAACACAAAAACAAGGAGAAGGGACAGUGUUCUAUCAGCCAAGAGCUGAAAUUGGAACGUUUUACGUAUGAAUAUGAGGACUACAAGCAAAAGUCAGAUUAAGGCUAUACUUUUAGAGAAUGAUAUUUCCACUGAAAAUAAGUUAAAAGUGUUAUAGCUUGAUCGAGACCACUUUAAAAAAGAAGAGAAACUUAGCAAAAUGAUAUCAGAAGAGAAAGAAUGGCUCUUUAAAGAUGAGAUCAUUAAGGUCUCCAAAGAUGAAAAAUCACUGAAGAGAAUCAAAGGCAUGAACAAAGAUAUCAGCAGAUCUUUCCAAGAAGAGAAAGACUGUUCGAAUACAGCAGAAAAGGAGAAAUCUCUGAAGGAAAAGUCUUCAAAGGAAGAAAAACUGAGACUGUACAAAGAGGAGAGAAAGAGUAAGUGAAAAGACGGGCCGUCAAAAUUAGAGAAAAAGAAUGAUUUAAAAGAGGACAACAUUUCAAAAGAGAAGGAGAAGACUUUUAAAGAAGAUAAAGAAAAACUCAAAAAAGAAAAGGUUUAUAGGGAAGAUUCUGCUUUUGAUGAAUAUUUUAAUAAAAAUCAGUUUCUGGAGAAUGAAGACAUCAAAUUUAGCCUUUCUGACAAUCAGCCAGAUCGGUGGUUUUUUUGACUUGUCUGAUUCAUCCUUUGAUUUCAAAGUGGGAGACAGCUGGGACUCUUCAGUGACAGACUACAGGGACUUGAAGAAUAACUCUGUGGCCAAGCUGAUCUUAGAAACAGUGAAGGAGGACAGCCAGGAGAGGAAGCAGGACAGCAGGGCCCGGGAGAAGCGAGACUACAGAGAGCCCUUCUUCCAAAAGGACAAGGACUAUUUGGAUAAAAACUCUGAGAAAAGACCAGACUGAAAAGCACAAAGUGUCCCCGGCUACCUUUUGGAAAAUGACAAAAAGAGGAGAGAGAGUCCGUAGAGGCCAGCCAGGACAAAAAGGACACCCUCCAGAGCUCCAAGGAGCACAGGGACUGCAGGGCCAAGCCAGAGGAGGCACACCGCACACCGCGAGGAGCUGAAGGAGUGAGGCUACCAGAGUGUCUUCAAGGAAAAGUCUGACUGCGAUUUUGGGAAGGGCCUGGAACCGUGGGAACUGCAAGACCCAGUGCAAGAGAAGAAGGACGGCCUUGAUAAGGAAAGGAAGGAGAAAACAAAUCCAGAAAAAUACAAACAGAAGUCCAGUAACAAGGACAAAAGUGAGAAAUCUAUCCUCGAAAAAUGUCAGAAGGACAGAGAAUUUGAUAAAUGUUUUAAAGAGAAAAAAGAUACCAAGGAAUAAACACAAAUACACACAUGGCAAAGACAAAAAAAAGGAAAGUGUCUCUUGACCAAGGGAAAGAGAAAAAGGAGAAAACUUUCCCUGGGAUUAUCUCAGAAGACUUCUCUGAAAAAAAAAAUGACAAGAAAGGCAAGGAGAAAAGCUGGUACGUCGCAGACGUAUUCACAGAAGAGAGAGAGGAUGACAAAGACAACUACAUGGGGAGUAGGUUCAAGAUCGGAGAGGCCAGCGACUUACAGAGGAUGGAUGACCUCUAGGAGAAGGACGAAGGGCGGGAGGCCUAUGCCUCUGACAGACACAGGAAGUCCUCUUCUGAUGAGCAGCACCCAAGAGGCAAAAGGACAAGGAGCCCAAAGACAAGAGAAAGGACACAGGGGCUGCUGACGGUGUGACAGAUAAAAAAGAGAAAGUCCUUGAAAAGCACAAGGAGAAGAAGGUUAAAGAGUACCAGAAAAGUAUAAGAACAGGACGGAAAGAGCUUCAGUGGACUCCACACAAGAUAAGAAAAAUAAACAGAAGCUCCCUGAGAAGGCUGAAAAGAAACAGUCUGCUGAAGACAAGGCUAACAGCAAACACAAAGAGAAGUCAGAUAAAGAAUAUUCCAAGGAGAGGAAGUCCUUGAGAAGUGCUGACAUGGAAAAAAGCCUGCUUGAAAAGUUGGAAGAAGCUCUCCAUGAGUACAGAGACGACUCCAGUGAUAAAAUCAGUGAGGUCUCCUCUGACAGCUGCACAGACUGAGGGCAGGAGCCAGGGAUGACUGCCUUCCUGGAGAUCUCUCUCAAGCAGCCACCCAUGUAGGAGGAGGCCAGGGAGAGCGCCUGCCUCCCGGAGAAGCUGAAAGAGAAGGAGAGGCACAGACACUCCUCAUCCUCAUCCAAGUAGAGCCACUACUGAGAGAGACAGCCAAGAAAGAAAAGUCCCAGAAGAGAAGGGCAGAGAUUACAAGGAGGGCGGCAGCAGGAAGGACACCGGCCAGUAUGAAAAGGACUUCCUGGAGAUGGUUGCUUAUGGAGUUUCUUACAACAUGAAAGCUGUCAUAGAAGAUAGGCUAAAUAAAACCGUUGAAUUAUUUUCUACCGAAAAGAAAGAUAAAAAUGAUUCAGAGAGAGAAACUUCCAAGAAAAUAGAAAAGGAACUAAAGCCUUAUGGAUCUAGUACCAUCAACAUCCUAAAAGUGAAGAAUAAGAGAGAGAAACAAAGGGAGAAAUUGACAGACGAGAAGAGGAAGAACCGGAACAGGCAUGCAGACUGGCUCCUGCGGCAUCACAGGGACCAAGCAGAAGCCCACUGCCAGGGACAAGGACAGCCCUCCCCGUGCACUCAAAGACAAGUCCAGGGAUGAGGACCCGAGGCUCAGGAAGGCCAAACUGAAGGAGAAAUUCAAGGACAGUGCAGAAAAAGAAAAGGACGACUCUGUGAAGAUGAGCAAAGGGGAUGAUAAAGUAUCGCCAUCCAAAGACCCAGGCAAGAAAAAUGCCAGGCCCAGGGAAAAGCUCCGGGGGGAUGGCGACAUGAUGAUAAUCAGCUUCCAGAGGAUGUUCUCCCAGAAGGACCUGGAGAUCGAGGAGCGCCACAAGGGGCACAAGGAGAGGAUGAAGCAGAUGGAGAAGCUGAGGCACCAGUCCAGAGACCCCAACCUCAAGGAGAGGGCGAAGCCAGCAGACGACGGGCGGAAGAAGGGUCUGGAAAUUCCUGCCAAGAAACCUCCGGGGCUGGACCCUCCCUUUAAAGACAAAAAGCUCAAGGAGUUGACUCCUAUUCCACCUGCUGCCGAAAAUAAGCCACGCCCAGGAUCAGGUGCAGACUCCAAAGACUGGCUCGCAGGGCCUCACAUGAAAGAGGUCCUACCUGCAUCUCCUAGGCCUGACCAGAGCCGACCGGUGUGCCCACCCCUACGUCGGUGCUGUCCUGCCUCAGCUACGAGGAGGUGAUGCACACGCCCAGGACCCCGUCCUGCAGCACCGAUGACUACACGGACCUUGUGUUCGACUGCGCCCACUCCCCGCCCUCCACGCCCGUGCCCACUGCUCCCUCCAGUGCCUGCCUGCCUCCUUUUUUGACAGGUUCUCCGCGGCAUCAAGUGGGCUUUUGGAAAACGCCAGCCAGGCUCCUGCCAAGCCUCUCUCCAUAAACUUUUACCGCUAGGUCUCUGCUGAUAUUAGGAGGACUCCCUAGGAGGAAUUCAGCUUGGAAGACAAGCUCCUCAGGCAGCAGAACGUUCCUGCCGCCUCCAGCUACGACUUUACCCUGCCGCACUAGACGGAAGACAGGGCGCCCCUGCCCCCGGUUCCCGUGGAGAAGUUUGCUUGCUUGUCCCCAGGGUAAUAUUCCACAGACUAUGGCCUCCCCUCGCCCAAAGUCGAUGCUCUACCACUGUCACUGUCACCCCGUCUCCAGAGGGCGUCUUCUCAAAUUUACAAGCAAAACCUUCCCCUUCCCCCAGAGAUAAGCUGCUGGUUCCUUCCCUCGAAGGGGCCAUUCCCCCGCACCUGGACGCCACCGAGGACCAGCAGGCUACAGCCCCCAUCAUCCCCCCGGAGCCCAGCUACCUGGAGCCGCUGGAAGAGGGUCAGCACCGUCAUCACUGAGGAGCCUGUCGAGUGGGCCCACCCCGCCGAGCAGGCCCUCGCUUCCAGCCUGAUCGGGAGCGCCUCUGAAAACCCUGUCAGCUGGCCUGUGGGCUCAGAACUCCUGCUGAAGUCUCCACAGAGAUUUCCUGAGUCCCCAGAAUACUUCUGCUCCGCGGACUCCCUCCACUCUGCAGCCCCAGGGCCCUUCAGCGCCUCAGAGGUGCCAUACCCGCCCCCCCCUUUCCGCCUCUCUCUCCCAGAACACUCUGCUCAUCGCUGAGCCAGGACUGGAGGAUGUCAAAGACAGGGUGGAAGCCAUCCCCGCCACCAUCUCUACCUCAGAGGCGGCUCCUUACGCCCCUCCCUCCGGGCUGGAAUCCUUCUUCAACAACUGCAAGUCACUUCCGGAAUCUCUGCUGGACAUGGCCCCUGAGGCCUGUAACCACUGUGGCUCAGGUGGAGGCUCUGGAACCCCUGGAAAAUAGCCUCCUGGACAACAGCCACAGCCUGUCUACCCUCCGCCAGGUGGAGCCGAUGCCCUGGGCAGACGCCUUCGCCGGCUCCGAGGACGACCUGGACCUGGGGUCCUUCUCACUGCCGGAGCUUCCCUUGCAGACUAAAGAUGUCCCAGAUGUUGAAACAGAACCCACAGAAGAAAGUCUUGCUCCUUCAGAAAAGAUCCCUCCAGGGGCCCCUGUGGUCGUAAGGGUGGGGAUGUUUCCGCUUUAGUGGCUAAGGAGCAGCCGUCACUGCCUCCUGACCAGGCCUCCACCCAGCUCCCCACAGAGCUCGAGCCUGAGCCCUCAGAGGAGCCAAAGCUGGACGUGGCUCUAGAAGCUACGGAGGCAGAAGCAGUGCCAGAAGAGAGGGCCUCUGGGGAUCUGGACUCCAGCAUGGAGCCCACACCCGUUCGCCCUGAACAGUGCCAACUGGGAAGCAGAGACCAGGGGGCCGAGGCUGAACACCUCCUACCCCCUGCCGCAUCCCUCUGUGCCCCCGACACCCCUUGCCCCCCAUGGACACUGUGGCACAAGCCCAGGCUGCGGACAGUGCUGGCCCCCACGACAACACUGCGGCCUCCCGUGCUGCCGCCCCAGCCGAAGGCCCUCCCUGCGGCAUCGACCCAGAAGCCACAGAAUCAGAACCAAAACCCACGGCCGAAGCCCCGAAAGCCCCCAGAGUGGGGUAGAUCCCUCACUGCAUCACCAGGAACCGGCAGAUGCUCGUGAACGAGAGCAAGUAGGGCACACCUCACUCCAAGGAGUGUGCCUCAGGCCCGCGGCUCGGAGGAGGACUACGCCCAGCCCAGCAUCCGCGCAAACGCCACUUCCAGCACUCCACCCAGCAGCUGAACACGUCCACGCAGCAGACGCGGGAGGUGAUCCAGCAGACGCUGGCCACCAUCGUGGACGCCAUCAAGCUGGACGCCAUCUACCCCUACCACAGCGACAGGGCCAACCCCUACUUCGAAUUCCUGCACAUCAGGAAGAAGAUCGAGGAGAAGCGCAAGAUUCUGUGCUGCAUCACGCCACAGGCGACCCAGUGGUACGCCGAAUACGUCACCUACACGGGCUCCUAUCUCCUGGACGGCAAGUCUCUCAGCAAGCUCCACAUGCCCAUGAUCGCACCCCCUCCCUCGCUGGUGGAGUCCCUGAACUAGCUGUUCAGGCAGCAGGAGCCGGUCCGGGAAAAGCUACGUCUGCAGCACAGCAUCGAGCAGUAGAAGCUGAUAUGUCCUAUGAGCAGGAGAUUCUGCAGGUUCACUGCUGGGCAGCCAGGAUCAUCGCCAACCAGGCAGUGCCAUUCAGCGCCUGCACGAUGCUGCUGGACUCUGAGGUUUAAAACAUGCCCCUAGAGAGCCAGCGCGACGAGAACAAGUCAGUGCGCGACCGGCUCAACACCAGCCAGUUCAUCUCCUGGCUCCAUGACUUGGACCACAAGUACAACCGCAUGAAGACCUGCUCACGUGGCAGCAGCACGAGGCCGCGGCCCUAAACGCCAUGCAGAGGAUGGAGUGGCAGCUGAAAGUGCAGAAGCUGGACCCCGCUGGGCACUAGUCCCUGUGCGUGAACGACGUGCCCUCCUUCUACGUGCCCAUGGUCGACGUCAACGACGACUUUAUGUUGUUGCCGCG